Molecule: non-coding RNA, 7370 nt
Organism: Rattus norvegicus (Norway rat)
Lineage: Eukaryota; Metazoa; Chordata; Mammalia; Rodentia; Muridae
Source: RefSeq, a predicted model, not a curated record
GUAGCAAAGCUACAAGAGCCCCUGACUUAGAGGAAGGGACACCUGUCUCUGCUCCUCCUCUGGGGAAGGUUUGAAGGCACUCCCCAUGGGUCAACAGCUCUGCAGCCCAGUGCAGUGUUGCCUCAGGAGCGAGCCUGAGGAGAAGAGGGCACAAGAUCCCCACAAAUACCAAGUACUCUGGCCAACCCUGCUCUGCUAGAGGAGGUGGGGCCAGGGCAAGUAUCCCAAAAAUAGCCAUCUGGGAGCCUGGGAGCCCUGCCUCUGAGGUCAGAUUUGGAACUGAGAAUCCCAGAGAGACUCUGUUCUCAUACUCUCCGUGGAAUGUCCUCUCGGGCAAGCCAUCUGGACACUCUGGGAAGAAGGUACAGGCCCGCUGUGUACAGGGAGGUCCCUGUGGUAAGUUCUUCUGCUUUGAAAGUAUUUGUAGAUUAAGAGCCCCGGUUGGCAUGAGCAACCGGAAGCGGGCAGAAGCGAAGCAAGGCUCUGGACUUUAACUCUGCAGCUCCUCAUCCGUCAAACAGCGGAGCAUAAAAACCAACAGCUGUGGAUCCCGAUGUCUGGCAGCUCCAUAUGGGAAGCUGAUCCCGGCCUCUUUACUCAGUUACUCUUCCCCGUGCCUUUCCCAAGUCCAAAACACCAGUGAAGACAUCUUUGAAGGCUGAGAGACCCAUGAAGAUCCCAUUCCUACACUUGGCUGCAGGAGACCCUGAAUACCAUACAAACCUCUCUGAGCUUCCCAAACAGGUAAUGUCUGUGAGAUUAAACAGGGGAUCCCUGAAGAGUGCCAAGCAGCAGGAAGUACCCAACAAGACAGUGCCCUCCUAGAGACGGAGCUGUGAAGUUCAGUCAAAGGGAACCAUGAUCGUGCUGGUUUUCAUUUGCUUUCCUGAUGAGAGCCAACUGUUUACAGCCAGGAGUCACUGUUUCACCUUCCUUUGAAGCAUGACUAUGUACGAGUCUUCAGCAGUUAGGGCUACUAAUGCCAUGGGCCUGCUGCCUGUUUGAGUGGAGUUCUCAGUGUUACUAUAUGUGGUGGUUUGAAUGAGAAUGCUCCCAUGGGCACAUACAUUCGGAUGCUUAGUCCCCAGUUGCUGGAAUGGUUUGGGAAGGAUUAGGUGUGGCCUUGUUGGAGGAGAUGUGUCACUGGGGGGUGGGCUUUGAGUGUUCAAAAGCCCAAACUGUUCCUAAUUAGCUCUCUCUGCUUACUACUUGUGAAUAAGGAUGUAAGCUCUCAGCUACUGCUCCAUGGCCAUGCCUGCCUGCCUGACUGCCCACCCCAUGCUACCGGCUAUGAUGAUAAUGGACUCGCCUUUGAACUAUAACCCCCAGUAAGCUCUCUUAGGAGUUGCUUUGUUCAUGGUGCUUUGUCCUGAUGGUAGAAAAGUAGCUAAGAUACUGAAUGGCAAAGAUAUGCAAAUAGCUAAGACGUGGCAAAAUGGAAAGAGCAGGUCUUUAGUUGCUAUAACCGAAUGCCUGAGGCUAGGAACUUUAUAAAGACAAGAGGUUUACUUAGCUCAAGGUUCCAAAGACUCAAGAGUGUACUGCUAGCUUCUUCUCAGCCUUGGUAGAAUGCUCUGCCUACACUACCACAUGGCAGAAGGGAUCAUGGUGGGAGUGAGUGUGAGAAGGAAAGGUCACAUGGGGAGGCAAGAAACGAGAGAUCCACAGGCAAGGAUCAUUUUCUUCAUCGGCUUUCAUUUUUGUGGUGCCAAGCAGCAAACUCCGGGCCUGUGUAAGCUGUGUAUCCACCAAGCUCUGUCCUUCCUUCCUUCCUUCCUUCCUUCCUUCCUUCCUUCCUUCCUUCUCUCCUUCCUUCCUUCUUUCCUUCCUUCCUUCUUUCCUUCCUUCCUUCUCUCCUUCCUUCCUUCUUUCCUUCUUUCCUUCCUUCUUUCCUUCUUUCUUUCCUUCCUUCCUCCUUCCCUUCUUUUGACAGGGUUUCACUAUGUAGCCCUAACUGACCUAGAACUCACUAUGUAGAACAGACUACCUUUUAACCGUAGGCUUACCUCUACUUUCCUAGUGCUGGGAUCAAAUCUGUUCACUACUGUGUCUGGCCCUUUUAUAUUAAAAAAAAAAAUAGUCAAGAGCUGGAACUGGAGAGAUGGCUCAGUGGUUAAGAGUACUGCUGACUGCUCUUUCAGGGGACCCAGGUUCAAUUCCUAGCAUCCACAUGGCAGCUUCAAUUGUCUGUAACUCCAGUUCCGGGGGCAUUGGCAAUCUCACACAGUAUAUGCAGGUAGAACACCAAAUGCAUAUAAAAUAUUAAUACAAUCUUUAAAAAAAAUUAAGGGUCAAGCAUGGUGACACACUCCUAUAAACCUAGCACCCAGGAGGCUAAGGCAAGAGGAUUGUUAGUUCUAAGCCAGCCUGGGUUACAGAGAGUUCAAGGCCAGUUUACCCUCCCCCAAAUUAUUAAGAAUUUCGAUGACACCAGGGCGUUCAAUUCUUCUAAGCAUGGUGCCUGUAAUUAUACAGGUCAUACACUGGCCCGGAUGCCACCAUUCAUGGGUCCCCAGGUCCUGCAUAGCUGUAGUCACACCGAUGACCCCUUAUAGCCAUGGUUGCUGACGGAGCCAUGGUUGCUGACGGAGCCAUGGUUGCUGACGGAGCCAUGGUUGCUGAUGGAGUGCUUCCCUCUGGGAGGUGUGAACACAGAAGAAGAUGGUCCAGCCGGCCUUCUCCAGGCUGCUGUCAACACCAGACUGUCCUUCACUGUGUCUUCCUCACUGCUAAAGGGUUCAGAAGACAGAAAAGGAACAGGAACCAGGGUUUGACAACAGCUUCCAAUAAUAGAACCUGCAGGUUGGACGAGGGACCCCUAUUUCUGAGCAUUGCUUUUAGAGACAGCUUUAACUGGGGAAACAGCCUUUCCUCCUCAUUUCAUCUCUAGAGGCCAGACCAGAAAGACAUACAGCAGAGAUAGGAGUAAGUAUAUCUAAGUAUAUCUGGGUAACUGCUAUGCUUACCAGGCAGGCCUGAAGGCCCUUCACAGCUUAUCACAUGGAUGUCCCUGCAUAGCUGUAGUCUUACUGACGACCCCUCAUGGCCAUGGUUGCUGACAGGUUAGCGCCCUCCUCCUGGCCUUCCAAAAUGCCCUUGUUUGAAUUAGAGAGGGGGCUCUAUGAUUAGACCUUCAGAGGUUCCCAGCUAUUAAGUCACAGCCUGGCUGUUUCUUUCUGCAGAUCUACAAUCUACAAGGGAUCCUGAGACUCUCGCCCCCACGCCCCUCUCUUUAGGAAGGGUUGUGUGUCUACUUGUUCAAGACAAGAAGAUAUUUCUAUAGAUCAGACUGGCCUUGAACUUACCAUGAAGCCUAGGGUGACCUUGAACUCCUGGUGCUCCUGCCUCCAUGUCCUGAAUGCUAGGAUAUUUGUGUGUACCAUCUCCUGACACCAAGCCCAGAAACCUGUAUGCAGUGCUCAGAGGUCAUACGUGCGUGCAUGGUGCGUUAUUCUUACCACAUUUUCAAAUGCAGCAUGGUGUGGGGGCCACACAGAACAAAGCACCUGGUACAGUGCAGAGUCUGUGCUUGGCAUAUGACCCUCCAAACCACCAAAACGGGGGAAGGAGGGAGAGGGGAAGAGGGAGACACAGAGAGACAGAGACACAGAGUGAUAGACAGAGACACGGAGAGAGACAGACACAGAGAAAGACAGAGAGAGACAGAGAGAGACAGAGACAGAGAAACACAGAGAGAAAGAAACAGAGAGAGACACACAGAGAAAGAGAUCUAGAAAUAGAAUAACCUCGUGUCCAACAGUCCUGCCUCUGAAUGUAAUAUAUAUAUAUAUAUAUAUAUAUAUAUAUAUAUAUAUAUAUAUAUAUAUAUAUAUAUAUAUAUAUAUAUAUAUUCCUGCGCAAACAACAUGACCAAAAAGCAAGUUGGGGAGGAAAGGGUUUAUUCAGCUUACACUUCCUCACUGCUGUUCAUCACCAAAGGAAGUCAGGACUGGAACUCAAGCAGGACAAGAAGCAGGAGCUAAUGCAGAGGCCGUGGAGGGAUGUGUCUUACUGGCUUGCUUCCCCAGGCUUGCUCAGCUUGCUUUCUUACAGAACCCAAGACUACCAGCCUAGGGAAGGCACCACCCACAAUGGGCUGGGUCCUCCCGCCUUGAUCACUAGUUGAGAAAAUGCCUUACAGCUGGGUCUCAUGGGAACAUUUCCUCAACUGAGGCUCCUUUUCUGUGAUAACUCCAGCUUGUGUCAAGUUGACACACAAAACCAUAUAUAUAUAUAUAUAUAUAUAUAUAUAUAUAUAUAUAUAUAUUUCACUGGAUAUGGUAAGAAGUAGGUCAAUUUAACAAUUUAAGUUCUAGGCCAAACUGGGCUACAUAGUGAGACACUGUACAUAUGUAUAUUUAUAUCUUGAACGUCUCGAAAAGUCUAAAGAGGCAAAGAUGUAAUGUAUUUCUUCUAUUAUAAAAACUCAUAGACAAAAAUCACCUAUAACCCCACUGCCUAGGGGCAAAUACUAACAACAUAUUUCUUCCUAUACACCAGACGUAAAUAUGUGUCUGUCUCUUGAUUUAGCUAUAACUUAUGUUAGUAGAGUCACAGAGCCGCAUGGCGUAUGCCUUUAACCUGAGCUUUGGGGAGGCAGAGGCAGCAGGUGUAUCUGUAUGAGUUUGAGGCUAGCCUGGUCUACAUAUCUUGUUCCAGGCUAGAACCAGAGUUACAUAGUAAGACUCUACCUCCAAAAGCAACAACAACAAAAGAUACAAUUACAUUUACCACUUUGGCGCUGUUAUAAGAACUCCCCAAAUCCUACAAUGUGAUUUUUUUUUCUGUUUUGUUUCUUGAGACAGUGUUUCUUUGGAUAGUCCUGGCUGUCUUGGAACCAGAUAUGUAGACCAGGCUAGCCUCAAACUCAGAGAUCAACCUGCCUCUGGCUCCCAAGUACUAGAUUAAAUACAUGCACCACCAUUGUCUAGCAAUGUGAUUUUUUUUUUUAAAGACAAUGUCUCCCUCCAUAGCCCAGGCUGAUUUCAAAUUCCCUUGUUCUUCUUGACUCAGUCUCCCAAGUCUGGGACUACACCAGACUAACAUGAUUUUAAUGGCUUCAUGCAGUUGAUCAGAUGCACAUCACAGUAAGACAGACUUCAAUUUCUGAGCAUUUAGGUUGAUUAAAAUUUCUUGAUUUCUUUUUUAACACCAUUCACAUCCCAUGUCAUAUACUGUCAUCCAUGUCAUUUCCUUAGACUGGCUUUCAGACUAUCUGGAGGCCAGUGGUACAUCCGCAUGCUACCCCGAUGGUCUGGUUCUGUCUUCAGAACCAUGUCACCUAGAGCUCUGUUCCUUGUAGGCUUUGAAAGGCCCCAGAUUUUCUCUCCCCUGACUUUGUCUAUUUUUGACUCCUGCAGGUGCUGGUGAGCUAAAAACUCCAGUUUAAGCAAAGCAAAAAACAGGAAUGUAUGUUUUCACUGGUUAGCUUUGUAGACUCAAGGAAAUUCUGCAAAAAAAAAAAAAAAAAAUUGAGAAUCUCUGUUACUGGAGACUUGCAGGUUGCCUCCCACAACCCCGCCCUUCCUGAAGCGAGAGAAUGAGGGCUCAGAGCAGGGAGCAGUGCAUGUGUCAUUCCUCUAUCUUGAUGGACAGGUGGUGCAGAAACCCUGGGGACUGAUGAGCUGGGGUCACAGAUUCUCCAGUUCACUGUACCAGCUUCCAGAACAGCUGUGGCUGUGGGGUCAGGUGGGGAUAUAUCUGGACACAGCCUCAAUGACAACUACACCACUCGUCCUGGCACUCAGGGAGCCAGUGACAUUCUCUAGCCAGUAACAUUCUCUAGGAUGACAGCUCUGGCCCCUCUCCUACGGUCAGCUUAGAAACUCAGGACUCAGCUCAGUAGAUUGUGAGUACUCUGGAGGCCUGCACUUGGCCAGAGAAGAGGAUGGGACUCAGACCCGAGGUGUGAAAGCAAUGGAAUAGGAAGCCGGACCGGAAGGAGACCCUGCCUUCACUAAGCACCUACUGAGUGCAGUUUGAUGACCAGCAUCCAAGGACCCAGAGGCUGUUCCUGAAUCUGGGCUAGCCUUGGGCUUCUGCUCAUCUUGUGCACCAUCUCUACCAGGUUCAUUCUGACACAGAAAACAAAAGCUCAAAGUCUGCCACAGAGGAGAAUCCUCCAAGAUAAAGACCAGUGAAGUGGUGUAGACCCCCAGGAUGGGACUUCAGGGCUAACGGCCAGUAGUCAGGCACAGCACUGGAGCACUGAGUCAGAAGUCACUGUGGGUCUGACCCCUGGGAUCAAGGGAAAGUCUUUCAAUGGUCAGUCGUGCCAUUACAGCUGGGGAUCAAAGUGACUUCAAACCAAACAAACAAAAUAUGGGCUGUGAUGAAGCUCGGUGGUGGUUCGUGCCUACGAUACAUAUGGCCAAGGGUUUGAUCUUCAGCACAGCAAGAGAAAACAAAAACAGACUAAAGAAGAAAAAGCAGGCUCCCGUAAGGUCUCAGGCCCCAUGCGUACAGCAGCUGUGUGGGCAAACCUGGAAGGGUGCGGACCUUCCAACCAAGCUCCAAGAGUAGGUUCCUGAGACCCCAGUGAGCAGAAACAGGGUGUGGUGAAAAAUCAAACGAAUUGCUUCUUUAAAGCCACCUGAAUGUUUUAGGAAUGUCUGGAUUUGGGCUUCUCUUUCCUGCAGCAGGAUAUUUAAAGAAAACAGACCUGAAAGGCUUCAGGUCCAGAGCAAAGAGCCUUCUGUGUGCCUCCUCCUGGUCUCUGCUUUGGAAAAGAUUCCUUUCCUCUUUGCUCUGGAUUGUACCCAAGGCAGCCAGAACCUGUUCUCUGAGUCAGGCCAACAGCCCAAGUCUCUGCGGAGAGUCAAAGUGAACUGGACACAGGCUGACCUCACAGCCUUACAAACUGUCUCACCCCAGGGGUCCUGCAGCAGGGGCUUUGGGGCUCCAGACCGUACUGCCAACUGGCAGCCAAGGGCUCACCCCUGCUCCCCAAGGGGGCCACUCCUGCCCCCCAAGACCAAGCCUAGCUCCUUCCCUUGGAAGAUAACUUGGCUAAAGGAAAGGGAGCUGAAAAGGUUACCACAGAAAGGUUAUAUAGGCUUAGGGCCUAGGAGUUAAUGAGGUGGCCUACCCACAACCUUGGCUAUUUCCAAGUCAUCUCAAUCCGGAGUGUGCAGUGUGCAGAAGGGCAAAGGGGAGGAGAGAGAGAGAGAGAGAGAGAGAGAGAGAGAGAGAGAGAGAGAGAGAGGAGAGAGAGAGGAGAUAGGGACCCAGCCUAGUGGCUCAGAUCUAGAAUCCUAUCUACUUGAAAGGCUUGAGACAGGAGGAUUAUAAAUUCAAGGUCUGACUGGGCUAAGAGCAAGCCUCAAGGCUAGAACCUGUCUAUAAUGUCAAUAAAAAUGGAAGAAAGAACA